Molecule: long non-coding RNA, 1159 nt
Organism: Triticum aestivum (bread wheat)
Lineage: Eukaryota; Viridiplantae; Streptophyta; Magnoliopsida; Poales; Poaceae
Exons: 2
Source: RefSeq, a predicted model, not a curated record
AGAAAACUCGGUAUAAGGGAAAUGCAAAGGGAAACGUUUUCCGCCGGCAGACCGGCUGAACGCUCGGUCGGUCACUCGCGAGCCGCAGGAUGGAUUGUAAUCGUACGAUACACAACGCGCCGCUCUACCCAGGAAAUAUCUCGCCCAACUAGUACUAUCCUUAUCCGUUUCCUUGGGCGUUCCUUCCCCACCACUCACUCCCAAUCUCUCACAGAGCCAUGGCUGCCACAAAUCUAUUGCGUUACUUCCACCGGCCUCCUCCUCUACCCAGCUCCUCGCAGCUGACCCACCGGCAAAGCUCGCUGCAGCGUGCUUCCGUUGGGGCCUCCUCCUCUACCCAGCUCCUCCUUUGCUGACCCACCGGCAAGGCUGGAUGCGGGGCGCUGCCGGUGCUUGGUGUUGGUCGUUUAGGUGGUGCACGGUAGGAGCGGGGAGACUAUGUGCUGCGCGCGGCCGGGACGGCGCUGCCGCAUGCCUGCAGAAUCGCGAGCGACGGGGAGCGCUAAGAUAGGCUCGACGAAGAUUAGCUGCGGGCGGGGGUGGCCGGCAAGCACGGGCGGCGCGGGGGUGGCCGGCAAGCAUGGGCGCGAGCGCGGGGGUGGCCGGCGAACACGGGCACGAGCACGGACGGCGCGAGUGUGGCCGGCGAGCAUGGGCGCGAGCACGGACGGCGCGAGGGUGGGCGAGCACAGGCGCGGAUGCAGACGGCGCGAGGAUGGCCAGGGAGCACGGGUCCGACCGUGGGCGGCGCAGGGUGGACGGCAAGCAUGGAUUGCGCGAGACAGGCGGCGAGCAUGGAGAUCUUCCUUUUUUCUUUUUUCUUCACGCGUGUGUGAAAGGGAGAAGUCGACUCAAUCGCGCUAUCCAGACCGUUUAUUUGUACGGGAUCCAACGCCUGGCAGCGGACCGGCCGAAACUUCGGCCGGUGCGCCGGCGCCUAGCAGCAUGCAUACAUCGUAUUCGACUAAAGAGGCGGCGUGGUGCAUUAUACCGUUCGCGAGCUGAUCCUAGCAAAUGAGGUGAUCGAGUGUGUUGCAGUUUGUCAACUACGUGGCCUGAUGCACAUUGAUCGUUCAAUUUAACACAAAUUGAAUACAGUUAGGAGAUACAUCACUGAUCUCCAACGAAUGGUUGGUCCAGAUUUACACCUUGCUUGUCA